This is an RNA transcript of Triplophysa dalaica, 2384 nucleotides long. It is a transcript of the gene named ankyrin repeat domain 33Bb, with no coding region annotated. The record is from RefSeq and is a predicted model, not a curated record. NCBI's taxonomy places the organism in Eukaryota, Metazoa, Chordata, Actinopteri, Cypriniformes, Nemacheilidae. The transcript is spliced from 6 exons.
AGAUUACUGUUAGGCACAUGUAACUGAAAGCAGAAGGGAGGGGAUAGAGACAGAGAAAGACACUAAGGGGAUUUAAGGCUUCCUGUUGAAACAUUUCCCUCGUGCACAAGCCAGUGAGAGAAUUUCUGAUGGAAGUACCUUAUCCCAUGAACUUGAACUGAGUUCUCCAGCAAGACCCGGGUUUGACAGGUGUGGUUGGAAGUCAAGCAAAGAAAAAAUGGGAUAAUUGAGCUCAAAAUGAUCUUGUGCGUACAUGUGAUGAUUGUCGAAACCACAUUGUGGAUUCUACAUCGUUUGUGUUCCAUCUACCAGAUCCGAAGUCAUAUGUUAAAUGGUGGUAAUAACUGAGAAUGGUGUUGAUGGAGGUCUUCUUCUGGUAAUCGAUCAUCACAAUGGCACUAGUCACAAACAAACAGGAGCCCGCAGUAAGGAAGAGUCCUCCGUACAGAGCUCCACUUCUGUGGAGCCCACAGAAGAUUCUUAUAAUACGGAGGAUGAGGAGCACCAUCAUUACGAUGAUGACGACGACGAUGUCUAUCAAGAAUUUGAGGAGUUGGACUUUUCGCAACUACCAGAUACCAAGAGCAUCGCGUCGGAUGAUUCCUUCUACCCACCUGAUGAUUCACUUAGGUAUGGAGACACUCCGAGCCCAGAGGCUCUCAGCUUCUUCAAGGCGUGCUGCACUAACAAUGUCAUCAUCGUUAAAAUCAUGAUAAGACAAGGCGUGACGGAGGCCGAUGUGCGAGAGGUGGACAAAAAUAACAGAACAGGUCUGAUAGUGGCGUGUUACCAGGGUUAUGUUGAUGUGGUCAUGGCUCUUUCUCAGUGUCCACAUGUGGAUGUGAACCGGCAAGAUAAUGAGGGGAACACAGCUCUUAUGAAUGCUGCUCAAGCAGGCCACAGUAUGAUAACCAACUACCUACUGAACUAUUUUCCUGGUUUGGACCUUGAGCGCAGGAACUGCCACGGCUUUACUGCAGUAAUGAAAGCAGCCAUGCAGGGUCGAGCUGAGUGUGUGCGGGCCCUUAUGAUGACAGGUGCAGACAUUGAAGCAAGGGAUUUUGGGCGGAAGUUAACACCACGAGAAUGGGCCCUGUUCACAGGGCGCUAUGAGACAGCCAGGGUGAUCAUGCGGCUGAUGGAACAACCAUGUGCCGAACAAUUCUGUGACUCUUACCGAAUGGAGUGGCCCAUGCUGGCCGAGCUAGUGGCCCGAUCGAAGGAGCCCAAGUCCUGUUGGAGGAAGUUCUCAGAACGUGCCUGCCCCCUGUUCACCAUGCGUAUGAAGACCGACCCCGUGGAUGAAGGUGUUCUAGACUAUAUGGUACGCAUGACCACAGCAUUGGCAAGCCCGUUUAUAGCGACCGCCUGCCGCACCGUUUGCACGGGCAACCCUCCGUGCGUGGGAAAACUUCGCCCUUCCGUGCAGGAUAUCCUCCGCAGGCAGCGUCUGGCCGAGCUGAAGAACCUGGGGCCUGAUCAUCUCAAUAACUACAAGCGUCUCUUCCAGAACUCCAGAGUGCUGCUGAUUCCAAAAAAGCAAGACAGACGUUCUAGCCUGCAGCCCCAGUUGCUACAAAACGUCGCCAGCGUGGCCCUGAGGAGAAGCAGCCUGCUGCCUCUUCACAUGAUGCGCAGGAGCAGCGUGCGUCCCGGUGUGGUGGUGCCUAAAGUCAUGCUAUGCAAAGCUCCUCCCGCCGUGUUCAUCACAGAGAGGCCACGGCGCAAGGCUUUAAAAGACUCAAAGAACCUACACAUCCCUAAAUGGAAGUACAAAGCCCUGAAGGAGGAGAAGAAGCAAGCCGAACAGAAGGAGAAGUUAAGAUUGUCUAUGAUGAGGAAAAAGUGACCUGGCUUUUGAUGCCUUAGGGGCCGUUCACACACGAUACGUAAAAAAAAGCAAAAUAAAGAAUAUACAACGUAGGUGUUUAGAGACGUGCUCUUGAGUUAAGCUGUUUUUUUGCUGUGUAAAACGUGACACCCAUGGCAUUUGUGAGACAUUUGUGAACGGCCCCUUAGAACAUUAUUGGCUUUGCAGGCCAAUUAAAAUAAACUGGUCUUUAUGUUAUCAUGAUCUGCUAGACACGCAUUAACAUUUAUAUACAUUUAAUAUAGUUACACUUCAAAGGCAUUUUUCUUUGUUUUUUUACAUUAAGUUUAUUUAACUAAGUCCGGGAGGAACGUGGUCACGUAAUCCAACCAAUCAGCAAAGAGAGGUCUCAAUAUAUAGGACCCCUCCAGCUAGCACAGGAACGUCUGUAAGACGUCUGCUAAAGAUCUGGAAAAUAGCUGCUGUGUAAAAUCAUCUGCUAAACAUCAUAGCUGCACCUGCACCUGCACCAGCAACGCAGUGUGAAAAGCUUCCAUUUGGGGGCAGUGUUACA